UUCAUUGAAGUUGUAUCUUUUAUUACAAUUUCACUUCAUUAUAUACAAACCUAAAUGAAUAGAGAAUAGAAAACGAAAUAGCCAACACAUACAAACACAUACAAACAUACAUGCGCUAGGGACAGACAUUCAGAGAAGAAAAUACCACGAGGAAAAAACACAAUAGAUAUGUGUUUUAUUAGAAACAGCUUAUCACAUAUAAGCACACACAUUAGCCAUUCAUUCAAGUAACUGGCGGGGCACACACAUUUUAUAAUAUAUAAUUGACAAUCCUCUAGUGUUUUCUGGCAUACAUAUUAAUAUACAUCAUUAUUUCACUAAUUACUUCUCAUGGAUAAAACAAAUAGCAAUCGAAAAGUAUGUUUAUAAUUCAAAUAACAAUACACAAUUACUAAUGGAACAUAGACACUUGGAGGGGCGAGGAGAGACAACUCUCCACACCGAAUAAGAAAAUGUGCUGAAGUGAAUGUCGAAUCAAUUGGAGAGUUAACGUUACUAGAUUGAACAUAAGGGGAGAAGAACGAGAUUUGGGGGAAAAAAAGGGGGGGGGGGGGAG
Molecule: non-coding RNA, 556 nt
Organism: Biomphalaria pfeifferi
Lineage: Eukaryota; Metazoa; Mollusca; Gastropoda; Planorbidae
Source: the annotation of a GenBank genome assembly